RNAcentral lists this unclassified non-coding RNA (2580 nucleotides) under Pocillopora damicornis (cauliflower coral). RNAcentral's name for it is "protein SON-like, transcript variant X1". Lineage: Eukaryota; Metazoa; Cnidaria; Anthozoa; Scleractinia; Pocilloporidae. The record is from RNAcentral.
UAUAGUUCACAGAUUAUAUAAUUUCUUUAUUUUGCUGAAAACGAUGAGUUUUGUGUCCGACGAACUUGCGAAUGUUUUAAAAUCGGUAUACAGGAUGGAGGAGGGUAGUGAAAAUAACGGAGAUGAAGAGUCCUCUUCUAAUGUAGACAAAAAGAGUGAGGAGGUUUCGAAAGAGAAACGCUCUAGAAAACAUAAGCACAAGAAACACUCAAAGUCGAAGUCAAAGGACAAGAAAAAGCACAAAAAACGAAAACAUAAGUCAAGAUCACGCUCACAGUCUCGAUCGAAAUCACGGACACCAGAUGAAAUUGAGGCCGAUUUUGUUCUUAAGAAAGACAAAAAUCUUGACACCGAGGAAAAGGAUAGAGAACUGGCCUCACAGAAUGGCACUGCUGGGUAUGGUAACGCUGUUCAACCAGCGCAGACCAACUGUGAUGAAAAGCCUAUCCAGGAUGUUCAUGGAUCUAAACCUUCAGAUUCCAAAGAAGAAAAGUCAGAGAGUUAUUUUAAAAGUAUUAGGUUAGAGAAUGAUAAAAAUGACUUGAUAUCUACUCCAGUUGCUGCAAAAAUAGGCCCGGAGAGAGAUUUUAACAGUAAUUGUUCAGGGAGUGAUGCAGAAGAUUUGGAGAACAAAAAGAGUACUUCAUCUUCUAGGAGUAAGUCAAAGUCCCCAGAGUCUAAAUUGUCUGGAAAUAACAAGGAGAGAGACUCAAGAUCCCAUUCCAAUGAUAGAGAGACUAAAAGGAAAUCCGGCUCACAAUCAAGUUCUAAGCAGUCUGCAAAGAAGAAGAAGCCAAGGUCACGGUCACAUUCAAGGAGCAGAACAUCCAAAAAGAGAUCAAGGUCAAGGUCACACUCAAAAAGGAAUCGCCACAGAAGAACUGAAUCCAAGUCAAGUUCACGUUCCCAUUCAUACAACAGUAGGUCAAGAUCAAGGUCCCCAAGACGAAGAAAAAGAUCAUUCUCUAGGUCACCAAGACGUAAAAGAUCACUUUCCAGGUCACGCCAUAAAUCUCCUGUAUUUAAAAGCUUUAGAGGGGUUUCUCCACCUUCCUGGAAAAAAAAUGUAGGAUCUCUCAGGAGACAAAGGUCAAGAUCAUACUCUAGAUCUGGUAGGUCACCUCCAAGGAGAAGGAGUUCUCCAAGAAGGAAACAGUCACGUUCAAGAUCAAGAGGAAGAAGGUCACACUCUAGAUCAAGAACUAGAACCCCAAGGAAGAGGACACGAUCCUUGUCUAGGGACAGGAGACAUCAUAGAUCCAGAUCAAGGUCACACUCAAGAGGAAGAGGUCAAAGAUCAGCAUCUAGAGAAAGAAGGAGGAGUAAGAGUAGUAGAUCUCGGUCAAAAUCAAAGGAAAAAACACAACCAAGGAAUCCUUCAUCAGUACCCAAUGUGCCAGUAACAGAUAAAAUAUCUACUUUGAUUGACAAACCAGUCGCAAGUGAUCUUUCUGCACAGCAGACAAAAGUUGCACAGAGGGCUGGAGGGAAAACUAUUGCGGAGCUUACUGCUUUCUGUAAAAAGCUACAGGAUGAAAAGGAGAGUAUAGACAGUGGUAACACAAGUGUAACAACUUUAGAAAAGAAAGAAGAUUCUCAGCCAGUGGCACACCAUCCAUUUUUAAUUAAAGAAAAGCCAGAUAUCACAAUACCACCUGUUAUCUUUCCAGUGAACAAGCCUAUGGUCCCACAAGUAGGGUCAUCCAAACCUCUGCAGGAGCAGUUUCCUGUGUCUUGUGGAAGUAAACACAGAGAAAAAGAGGGUGUCAAUGAUGGGGCUGAAAUGGUUGCCAACAUAGAUGGCUCUGCAAUUCAGACGCAACCAAAAGUAGAAGUAUUUCCUCAACCUUCUGCUGAGAAACUGGACAUCAGUGACCUUGUUACUAAGCGAAUGGAUGCACAAAGGCGGCUGCAGACUGACCCUAAUGACAUUGAGGCCCUGUUGGUUCUCCAGGAGAUUCAAAUGAAGAUGCAGAAUUGGUGCCAAUCAAAUGUUAAGCCAGGCCAGUUUACUGGAGAGCUUGUGAAGAAUCUUUUGCCAAAGGAAGAUUUGCAAGGAGGCUUCCAGGCAUGGGCCAAAAAGGACAUGUUUCACAACCUCUCACCAGUUUCUGGUGGUAUCGGCAUGAAGCUUCUCCAAAAAAUGGGAUGGAAACCUGGACAAGUGAUUGGUAAAAGAGGAGAAGGUUACGCUGAACCUAUCGCUCUUACUGUCAAAAUUGAUAGGAAAGGUCUCAGUGCUGGAAAGGAAAAGGCUACCAAGAAAGGUGCUCCUACUGUUCUGGACCUGCAAGCAGUAAAAGGCAUCGACCCCUUUGAAAUGAAGCCUACAUACAAGCAAUUCAAUAUGCAAUGCCUCUUGAUCCGAUGUUGAGAAUUUUAGCACCACAAGGAGAUUGUACCAUCAAAUGAUGAUCACACAAAGACUUAUUUUUGAUGACAUCAGGAAAGCAUCCUGUGUCUGCCCUGGCUGAGUAUUGCAGUAAGAGAAAAUGGCAACUGCCCGACUACACUUUAGUCUUUGAUCAUGGCCCUGCACACCAUAAACAGUUUCUGUUUAAAGUUUUAGUGAACAGUGUA